This 230-nucleotide ribosomal RNA is filed under the name uncultured Acanthamoeba. RNAcentral describes it as "partial 18S ribosomal RNA". It matches the Rfam family "Eukaryotic small subunit ribosomal RNA", at positions 97 to 279 of the family's 1831-position model. Lineage: Eukaryota; Discosea; Longamoebia; Acanthamoebidae. The record is from RNAcentral.
CUCAUUAAAUCAGUUAUAGUUUAUUUGAUGGUCUCUUUGUUCUUCUUUUUACCUACUUGGAUAACCGUGGUAAUUCUAGAGCUAAUACAUGCGCAAGGUCCCGAGCGCGGGGGGGCAGGGCUUCACGGCCCUGUCCUCGCAUGCGCAGAGGGGAUGUAUUUAUUAGGUUAAACAACCAGCAUCUUUUCAUUUCUGGUGAUUCAUAGUAACUCUUUCGGAUCGCAUUCAUG